AGUGAACGCUGGCGGUAGGCCUAACACAUGCAAGUCGAACGGCAGCACAAGAGAGCUUGCUCUCUGGGUGGCGAGUGGCGGACGGGUGAGGAAUACAUCGGAAUCUACUCUGUCGUGGGGGAUAACGUAGGGAAACUUACGCUAAUACCGCAUACGACCUACGGGUGAAAGCAGGGGACCUUCGGGCCUUGCGCGAUUGAAUGAGCCGAUGUCGGAUUAGCUAGUUGGCGGGGUAAAGGCCCACCAAGGCGACGAUCCGUAGCUGGUCUGAGUGGAUGAUCAGCCACACUGGAACUGAGACACGGUCCAGACUCCUACGGGAGGCAGCAGUGGGGAAUAUUGGAAAAUGGGCGCAAGCCUGAUCCAGCCAUACCGCGUGGGUGAAGAAGGCCUUCGGGUUGUAAAGCCCUUUUGUUGGGAAAGAAAUCCAGCUGGCUAAUACCCGGUUGGGAUGACGGUACCCAAAGAAUAAGCACCGGCUAACUUCGUGCCAGCCGCCGCCGUAA
Molecule: ribosomal RNA, 506 nt
Filed under: uncultured bacterium
Lineage: Bacteria
Description: partial 16S ribosomal RNA
Rfam family: Bacterial small subunit ribosomal RNA
Source: RNAcentral